GACGAACGCUGGCGGCGUGCUUAACACAUGCAAGUCGAACGGUGAAGCGCCUUCCUUUUUGGUGGGUGUGGAUGAGUGGCGAACGGGUGAGUAACACGUGAGUAACCUGCCCCCUUCUUCUGGAUAACCGCAUGAAAGUGUGGCUAAUACGGGAUAUUCUGGGUCUGUCGCAUGAUGGGUCUGGGACAGAUAUUGUUUCGGUGGGGGAUGGUCUCGCGGCCUAUCAGCUUGUUGGUGGGGUGAUGGCCUACCAAGGCGGUGACGGGUAGCCGGCCUGGGAGGGUGGACGGCCACACUGGGACUGAGACACGGCCCAGACUCCUACGGGAGGCAGCAGUGGGGAGUAGUGCACAAUGGGCGAAAGCCUGAUGCAGCGACGCCGCGUGAGGGAUGGAGGCCUUCGGGUUGUGAACCUCUUUCGCCAGUGAAGCAGGCCUGCCUCGUUUGUGGGUGGGUUGACGGUAGCUGGAGAAGAAGCGCCGGCUAACUACGUG
This 494-nucleotide ribosomal RNA is filed under the name uncultured bacterium. RNAcentral's name for it is "partial 16S ribosomal RNA". It matches the Rfam family "Bacterial small subunit ribosomal RNA", at positions 28 to 507 of the family's 1533-position model. The record is from RNAcentral.